Molecule: long non-coding RNA, 2854 nt
Filed under: Brassica rapa (field mustard)
Lineage: Eukaryota; Viridiplantae; Streptophyta; Magnoliopsida; Brassicales; Brassicaceae
Description: long non-coding RNA (BRAP_LNC006153)
Source: RNAcentral
AAAAAUAUGACAUCUUUUCUGGUAAAAAAGAGUUUAUAUAAUUCAUAAUUAGUUACUAAAAUAUUUAAUGUUUACAUAACUUGGUUUGCAGUUCAAUCCGUGGAACUAAUCAUCAAUAGUUUUCUUAACAAAUUCUCUUAUUAUACUAAUUAAUUCUACAAUACGAGAACUUUUCUAACAUGAAAGCUUUUCAUAUUAUUCUGAAUACAAUAUCUUCAUAAUAAAUUCCAUCACCGUAAAAUACAAUUACAUAUUAUAAAAUUAAAAAAAAAAUUGUCGACAAUUAAAAAAUAUUUAAAAUUGAGGAUUAUAUAAAUUAGAAAAAAUUCUCUAUAAUAAAUAUUUUUAAUUUAUUUUCACAAAAUAGUGUUUAAAGAAAAAAUGACAAAAAGAAAAUUUAUUAAAAAUAAAAAUAUAUUUAUACCUUAAAAUCUAAUUUAAAUUUAAGGUUUAGAGAUAAAGGGUGUGGUUUUGAUUAUAGAGAUUCAAAUAUUUUAAAUAAAAAAUAAAAAUUAAUUUUUUCAAAAUAAAAAUAAUAAUUUUUGAUUAUUUUUUUCAUUGAGAAUUAUUUUUGUGAUAAUUGUUUUAAAAAAAUGUUAUUUAAGAUAAUUACCCUAUAAUUUACUUAAAAUCCGAAGAAGAUAAAAUGAAAAAUCUCUACUAAUAAAAGGGAGCUUUUGAGGCUCCAUAUGACGUCCACAUCAGCGGAAAAAAUUUCUCCCAAAAGAUGACACGUGGCAUAAAAUAUAGUUUUACAUUUUAAUAUUAAUUAUUUUCGAAAAUUGUAAAAAAUAUGUAAACAUAAAGCAUUAAAAAAUGAAAAACUACAUUAAACAUAUGUAAGAUUACUAUUUUUCACUUAAAAAAAAAGAUGGCUUAUCUCCAUAAUGUAACACUACCGUUUUAUAAAAAAAAAAACAAAAAACAUUAUAUAUAAUUUCGAAAAUAAUAAUUAUAUGUAAAACAUACAACAUAAAAAUGGAAAUACUACAAUAAACAUAAAUAUGUUUGACUAUUUGUCCAAGUUCUUCUAUUAAACAUUGCCGUUUUACAUUAAAAAUAGAAAAAUACGUAAAAAUUUAAACAUCUAUCUUAAAAUAUAAAAUAUAGACAUUAACUAAAUAUAAAGUAUAAAAAAGAGAAAUACUCAAUAUAUAAAAAAAUAAUAAGUAAAUAUUAUAAAUAUAUAAAUAUACGAAUCAUAUAUACAAUAAUAAGUAAAUGCACAAUUUUUUAAAAAUGAAAAGAGUAUAUUAAAUAUUAAACAUCUGUCUUAAAAUGUAAAAUAUAGAUAUUAAGUAAAUAGAAAAUAUAAGAAAAAGAAAUAAACAACUUAAAAACAAUGAAAAAAGUAUAUUAAGAUUUAAACAUCUAUCUUAAAAUGUAAAAUAUAGAUAUUACGCAAAUAGAAAGUAUAAGAAAAGGAAAUACACAAUUUAAAAAAAAAUGGAAAAAGUACAUUAGUAUUUAAACAUCUAUCUUAAAAUGUAAAUCAAUCUUAAAAUAUAAAAUUAUUAGUAAAUAGAAAGUAUAAGAAAUAAAAAUACACAAUAUAAAGAAAAAUAAAUAAUAAGUAAAUAUAUAAUAUAAUCUCGAAAGAUGACACGUGACAUUAAACAUAUGUAAGAUUACUAUUUUUCACUUAAAAAAAAGACGGCUUAUCUCCAUAAUGUAACAUUACCGUUUUAUAAAAAAAAAAUAAAAAACAUUAUAUAUAAUUUUGAAAAUAAUAAAUAUAUGUAAAACAUACAACAUAAAAAUGGAAAUACUACAAUAAACAUAAAUAUGUUUGACUAUUUGUCCAAGUUCUUCUAUUAAACAUUGUCGUUUUACAUUAAAAAUAGAAAAAUACGUAAAGAUUUAAACAUCUAUCUUAAAAUAUAAAAUAUAGACAUUAACUAAAUAUAAAGUAUAAAAAAGAGAAAUACUCAAUAUAUAAAAAAAAUAAUAAGUAAAUAUUAUAAAUAUACGAAUUAUAUAUAAAAUAAUAAGUAAAUGCACAAUUUUUUAAAAAUGGAAAGAGUAUAUUAAAUAUUAAACAUCUAUCUUAAAAUGUAAAAUAUAGAUAUUAAGUAAAUAGAAAAUAUAAGAAAAAGAAAUACACAACUUAAAAACAAUGAAAAAAGUAUAUUAAGAUUUAAACAUCUAUCUUAAAAUGUAAAAUAUAGAUAUUACGCAAAUAGAAAGUAUAAGAAAAGGAAAUACACAAUUUAAAAAAAUAGAAAAAGUACAUUAGUAUUUAAACAUCUAUCUUAAAAUGUAAAUCAAUCUUAAAAUAUAAAAUUAUUAGUAAAUAGAAAGUAUAAGAAAUAAAAAUACACAAUAUAAAGAAAAAUAAAUCAUAAGUAAAUAUAUAGUAUAAUCUCGAAAGAUGACACGUGGCAUAAAAUAUAGUUUUACAUUUUAAUAUUACUUAUUUUUGAAAAUUAUAAAAAAUAUGUAAACAUACAGCAUAAAAAAAUGGAAAAACUACAUUAAACAUAUGUAAGAUUACUAUUUUUCACUUAAAAAAAAGACGGCUUAUCUCCAUCAUGUAACAUUACCGUUUUAUACAAACAACAAAAAACAUUAUAUAUAAUUUUAAAAAUAAUAAAUAUAUGUAAAACAUACAACAUAAAAAUGGAAAUACUACAUUAAACAUAUGUAAGAUUACCAUUUUACAUUUUUAUUUUAAGAAAAUAAUAUGUAAACAUACAACAUAAAAAAUAAAAAAACUACAUUAAACAUAUGUAAGAUUACCAUUUUUCACUAAAAAAAAGACGGCUUAUCUCCAUAAUUUAACAUUACUAUUUUGUAAAAAAGAAAAUUAUAUAUAAUUUCGAAAAUAAUAAAUAAUAUGUAAACAUACACCAUA